CGAAAGCCUGACGGAGCAAGACCGCGUGAGGGAGGAAGGCUCUUGGGUUGUAAACCUCUUUUCUCAGGGAAGAAGCUCUGACGGUACCUGAGGAAUCAGCCUCGGCUAACUCCGUGCCAGCAGCCGCGGUAAGACGGAGGAUGCAAGCGUUAUCCGGAAUUAUUGGGCGUAAAGCGUCCGUAGGCGGUUUAGAAAGUCUGAUGUUAAAGCCCACAGCUCAACUGUGGAUGGGCAUUGGAAACUUCUAGACUAGAGAGUGGUAGGGGUAGAGGGAAUUCCUAGUGUAGCGGUGAAAUGCGUAGAUAUUAGGAAGAACACCAGUGGCGAAGGCGCUCUACUGGGCCAUUACUGACGCUGAUGGACGAAAGCUAGGGGAGCG
This 379-nucleotide ribosomal RNA is filed under the name uncultured cyanobacterium. Its description in RNAcentral is "bacterial SSU rRNA". It matches the Rfam family "Bacterial small subunit ribosomal RNA", at positions 376 to 770 of the family's 1533-position model. Lineage: Bacteria; Bacillati; Cyanobacteriota. The record is from RNAcentral.